AAACUAAGCUAUUACAAUGUUUGAUUGUGUACUUGUAAUUGCUAGAAAAGCAUUUUUCCAAGCCACUUUAAUUUGAAAUGGAAAAGAAACAAAUUAAGCACAAAAUUCUGUGAUACCAAGUCACAAGUAGAAUGAAAAAGUGUGUGCAAAUGAGAAAGCCAAGUGUGGCUGCUGUAUCACAAAAUGCUGGUCCAAAAUGAUGAAAAUUUGCUACUGAAAAAUGGUUGUUGAAUUAGUUCUGUACAGCCAAGGAAGGUGCUCUCAAAGUCCUAACUUUUGCUUGCUUUAACAAUGCUUCCACUCCUUAGUACGCUACCCCUUUGAUAAGGUCCAGCUGUGUGCUAAAAUUCCACCAAACUAUGAUGUUCCAACAGACAAAAAUCACAACACCCGUGAGUGAAUAAGAAGCAUGCUGCAACAAAGUGUAAUGCAGAAAUAACGUGACAGCAAGAUGGGGAAGCCAAUAAAAGGGAUUUCUAAUCACUUUGGGGCUGGAAUAAAGGCUANCACNCAAAAGGAACCUAGGAUAGGGUCUAGAACANAUUAUAAAAGCAAUAAAAGACUCAAAACAUUGAUUGAAUUCUGUGCAAUGCAAGUGUUUNAANAAAAUUUAAAANUNUUUGAUGAAAUGCNACAAUGAACNUCAGGUUUGGUAUUUUUCUGAUUUUUGAACUUUCANGAGUGGAUUGCAUGGUUUAAAUUGCUUUUUAUGAAUGAUGUAUGGUACAUGGAUCACGUAAUGGUAUAUGUAAACAGAAACCUAGCUUUUGCCAAUCAAAAAUGCACUUUAUCUAUAGAUAAGAAUACCAAACANCAANCAAAAUGUACUGCAGUAGCAAAAUGAGUAGAAAAUGGGUGGUUUCAAUGGUGAUAAUGAAUGACGNUGGUGUAAAGGAGGAAAAGAUACUUCUAGCAAGUUUAAAACAUCAAUUUCAACCUGUGAAAGUUAUGAAACAGCCAAAAANAGAGCUAGUGCAGAAUAUGACUUGUGCACUUGCCAAAAGUGAGUAAAUUUUGGUGACGUAGCAGGUAUAGAUCAGUUUGCCUCAAAAUUUACCAUAUGAACAAUAACAAACAACUUUCAAUUCACCAAAAAUGACUCCAAAANCAAUGAAACAGAUCCAAAACAGUAAGGAUCUCAAUAUGAGGUAUGCACUUGCAUAUAUCAAGCAAAAAUGAUGGUUCAAGAUGUGAAUUGAUACCUUGGCUGUGAAAAGAGCAAAUAGACCAUGC
This 1233-nucleotide long non-coding RNA is filed under the name Vigna radiata. RNAcentral's name for it is "long non-coding RNA (VRAD_LNC011429)". The record is from RNAcentral. Lineage: Eukaryota; Viridiplantae; Streptophyta; Magnoliopsida; Fabales; Fabaceae.